UAUUAAUUAUUACAAAGACUGCAGUACCA
RNAcentral lists this non-coding RNA (29 nucleotides) under Mus musculus (house mouse). Lineage: Eukaryota; Metazoa; Chordata; Mammalia; Rodentia; Muridae. The record is from RNAcentral.